CUGCAGCCGCCGCGGUAAUACGGAGGGUGCAAGCGUUAUCCGGAUUCAUUGGGUUUAAAGGGUGCGCAGGCGGAUACUUAAGUCAGUGGUGAAAUCCCGGGGCUCAACCCCGGAACUGCCAUUGAUACUGAAUAUCUGGAAUACGGUUGAAGUGGGCGGAAUGUAGCAUGUAGCGGUGAAAUGCAUAGAGAUGCUACAGAACACCGAUCGCGAAGGCAGCUCACUAAGCCGAUAUUGACGCUCAGGCACGAAAGCGUGGGGAGCGAACAGGAUUAGAUACCCUGGUAGUCCACGCCGUAAACGACGAUAACUCGUUGUUGGCGACACACAGUCAGCGACUAAGCGAAAGCGAUAAGUUAUCCACCUGGGGAGUACGAUCGCAAGGUUGAAACUCAAAGGAAUUGACGG
This 408-nucleotide ribosomal RNA is filed under the name uncultured bacterium. RNAcentral describes it as "bacterial SSU rRNA". It matches the Rfam family "Bacterial small subunit ribosomal RNA", at positions 506 to 916 of the family's 1533-position model. The record is from RNAcentral.